RNAcentral lists this ribosomal RNA (497 nucleotides) under uncultured bacterium. Its description in RNAcentral is "partial 16S ribosomal RNA". It matches the Rfam family "Bacterial small subunit ribosomal RNA", at positions 28 to 507 of the family's 1533-position model. The record is from RNAcentral.
GAUGAACGCUGGCGGCGUGCCUAAUACAUGCAAGUCGAGCGAACGGACGAGAAGCUUGCUUCUCUGAUGUUAGCGGCGGACGGGUGAGUAACACGUGGAUAACCUACUUAUAAGACUGGGAUAACUUCGGGAAACCGGAGCUAAUACCGGAUAAUAUUUUGAACCGCAUGGUUCAAAAGUGAAAGACGGUCUUGCUGUCACUUAUAGAUGGAUCCGCGCUGCAUUAGCUAGUUGGUAAGGUAACGGCUUACCAAGGCAACGAUGCAUAGCCGACCUGAGAGGGUGAUCGGCCACACUGGAACUGAGACACGGUCCAGACUCCUACGGGAGGCAGCAGUGGGGAAUCUUCCGCAAUGGGCGAAAGCCUGACGGAGCAACGCCGCGUGAGUGAUGAAGGUCUUCGGAUCGUAAAACUCUGUUAUUAGGGAAGAACAUAUGUGUAAGUAACUGUGCACAUCUUGACGGUACCUAAUCAGAAAGCCACGGCUAACUACGUG